RNAcentral lists this long non-coding RNA (219 nucleotides) under Glycine max (soybean). Its description in RNAcentral is "long non-coding RNA (GMAX_LNC001071)". The record is from RNAcentral. Lineage: Eukaryota; Viridiplantae; Streptophyta; Magnoliopsida; Fabales; Fabaceae.
GUUUUUCUCUCUUGCACAACCCAAACUUUCUCAUAAGUCCUAAAUGACAUUUCAAACUAGGAUUAACUCCCUUUAACCUCCAAAUACCACUAAAUCCAGAUUUGGCCUUCCAACUCUCAAAGUCUCACUCUUUCUCCACUCACAACACCAUAUUCUCACCUUCUAACCCAAGGUUAACUCUACCCUUCAUCUCUAACAGUUUUCCAUUAGCAAUUUCAG